UCCGGGUUGACGCCAAGCUCUGCCGCUCCCGGAUUCUCAUGGACCAGGCAGAGGCGGGGGACCCAGUGUUCCCGGGCAUUCUGCAGCCAUGCACCCUUGGGGUUAAGCCGACACGUUGAGAUUCCGUGCGGCCGGGUCACGCAUCCGAACCCGACAGCUCACUCCGUAGGCGUUGAGAGGCAUA
RNAcentral lists this small RNA (184 nucleotides) under Arthrobacter sp. RNAcentral's name for it is "c-di-AMP sequence". It matches the Rfam family "c-di-AMP riboswitch aptamer (ydaO/yuaA leader)". From Rfam's summary of the family: This family represents a conserved RNA structure found upstream of the ydaO and yuaA genes in Bacillus subtilis and related genes in other bacteria. The ydaO/yuaA element is thought to act as a genetic "off" switch for the ydaO and yuaA genes in its native state. It is believed that the element may be triggered during osmotic shock leading to activation of ydaO, a predicted amino acid transporter gene, and members of the yuaA-yubG operon which code for KtrA and KtrB K+ transporters. Lineage: Bacteria; Bacillati; Actinomycetota; Actinomycetes; Micrococcales; Micrococcaceae. The record is from RNAcentral.